RNAcentral lists this non-coding RNA (32 nucleotides) under Mus musculus (house mouse). Lineage: Eukaryota; Metazoa; Chordata; Mammalia; Rodentia; Muridae. The record is from RNAcentral.
UGUUUCAAGGUUUGAACACCCUAGCUGGGCUU